GUGGGGAAUCUUCCGCAAUGGACGAAAGUCUGACGGAGCAACGCCGCGUGAGUGAUGAAGGUCUUCGGAUUGUAAAGCUCUGUUAAUCGGGACGAAAGAGCCUAGUGUGAAUAAUGCUAGGAAGUGACGGUACCGGAAUAGAAAGCCACGGCUAACUACGUGCCAGCAGCCGCGGUAAUACGUAGGUGGCAAGCGUUGUCCGGAAUUAUUGGGCGGAAAGCGCGCGCAGGCGGAUCUGCCAGUCUGUCUUAAAAGUUCGGGGCUUAACACCGUGAUGGGAUGGAAACUACAGAUCUAGAGUAGCGGAGAGGAAAGUGGAAUUCCUAGUGUAGCGGUGAAAUGCGUAGAUAUUAGGAAGAACACCAGUGGCGAAGGCGACUUUCUGGACGAAAACUGACGCUGAGGCGCGAAAGCCAGGGGAGCGAACGGGAUUAGAAACCCCUGUAGUCC
This 450-nucleotide ribosomal RNA is filed under the name uncultured bacterium. RNAcentral's name for it is "partial 16S ribosomal RNA". It matches the Rfam family "Bacterial small subunit ribosomal RNA", at positions 354 to 796 of the family's 1533-position model. The record is from RNAcentral.